This 72-nucleotide transfer RNA is filed under the name Dinophyceae sp. TGD. RNAcentral's name for it is "tRNA-Lys". It matches the Rfam family "tRNA". Rfam says of the family: Transfer RNA (tRNA) molecules are approximately 80 nucleotides in length. Their secondary structure includes four short double-helical elements and three loops (D, anti-codon, and T loops). Lineage: Eukaryota; Dinophyceae. The record is from RNAcentral.
GGGUUGAUAGCUCAGGGGUAGAGCAACUGGCUUUUAACCAGUUGGUCGAGGGUUCAAACCCCUCUCCACCCA